This 258-nucleotide long non-coding RNA is filed under the name Coffea arabica (coffee). RNAcentral's name for it is "long non-coding RNA (CARA_LNC003207)". Lineage: Eukaryota; Viridiplantae; Streptophyta; Magnoliopsida; Gentianales; Rubiaceae. The record is from RNAcentral.
GGACUAAAGAGGGAAAGCAUAUAAAAAUUCUAGCUGAAAUUGAUCUAAAUCAACCAAUGCUGAGGGGAACUAUGGUUAAAAUGAAUGGUAUAAUUAGAUGGGUGGAAUUUAAGUAUGAGAGGUGUCCUGAUUUUUGUUUUAGCUGUGGAAUUAUGGGACAUACAGAGAGAAACUACAAAAAAAAGGAGCUCAUAUGCGGAGAGAGCCUCAAUUUGGAACAUGGUUACAAGCUAGUAAUCCAAGAAGUCUUAUUAAGAA